This 64-nucleotide transfer RNA is filed under the name Catomerus polymerus. Its description in RNAcentral is "tRNA-Thr". Lineage: Eukaryota; Metazoa; Arthropoda; Thecostraca; Balanomorpha; Catophragmidae. The record is from RNAcentral.
GUCUAUGUAAUUUAUCUAAAAUACCGGUCUUGUAAAUCGGAAAUAGGCACUCCCCUCUUAGACU